CAGCAUCCUCUGAUAGACCAUGAGCACUCUUCCUAUUGCUCUCUGGUUUGCACUAAGAUGCAAAAAUAACUUCCUUGCGCUUUCUGCCUGCCUGACUGUGGCAGCUCAGAUUGAAUUGGGGAAUACACAA
This 130-nucleotide small nucleolar RNA is filed under the name Accipiter nisus (Eurasian sparrowhawk). RNAcentral's name for it is "Small nucleolar RNA SNORA31 (ENSANIG00000001898.1)". It matches the Rfam family "Small nucleolar RNA SNORA31". From Rfam's summary of the family: ACA31 (SNORA31) belongs to the H/ACA class of snoRNAs which are thought to guide the sites of modification of uridines to pseudouridines. The record is from Rfam by way of RNAcentral. Lineage: Eukaryota; Metazoa; Chordata; Aves; Accipitriformes; Accipitridae.